CAAUAGCGUAUAUUAAAGUUGUUGCGGUUAAAAGCUCGUAGUUGGAUUUCUGCUGAGGACGACCGGUCCGCCCUCCGGGUGAGCAUCUGGUUCGGCCUUGGCAUCUUCUUGGUGAACGUAUCUGCACUUGACUGUGUGGUGCGGUACCCAGGACUUUUACUUUGAGGAAAUUAGAGUGUUUCAAGCAGGCAUACGCCUUGAAUACAUUAGCAUGGAAUAAUAAGAUAGGACCUCGGUUCUAUUUUGUUGGUUCUAGAGCUUGAGGUUAAUGAUUAAUAGGGAUAGUUGGGGGUCAUUUACGUGAUUUAACUGGUCAGUAGGUGAAAUUCUUGGAUUUGUUAAAGACG
This 347-nucleotide ribosomal RNA is filed under the name uncultured eukaryote. Its description in RNAcentral is "SSU rRNA". It matches the Rfam family "Eukaryotic small subunit ribosomal RNA", at positions 592 to 937 of the family's 1831-position model. The record is from RNAcentral.